CCUACGGGAGGCAGCAGUGAGGAAUAUUGGUCAAUGGGCGGGAGCCUGAACCAGCCAAGCCGCGUGAGGGAAGAAGGUACAGCGUAUUGUAAACCUCUUUUGUCAGGGAACAAAGGCGGGGACUAGUCCCCGGAUGAGGGUACCUGAAGAAAAAGCAUCGGCUAACUCCGUGCCAGCAGCCGCGGUAAUACGGAGGAUGCGAGCGUUAUCCGGAUUUAUUGGGUUUAAAGGGUGCGCAGGCGGCGUGUUAAGUCAGCGGUAAAAGCCCGGGGCUCAACCCCGGCGAGCCGUUGAAACUGGCGGGCUGGAGUGGGAGAGAAGUACGCGGAAUGCGCGGUGUAGCGGUGAAAUGCAUAGAUAUCGCGCAGAACCCCGAUUGCGAAGGCAGCGUACCGGCUCCACACUGACGCUGAGGCACGAAAGCGUGGGUAUCGAACAGGAUUAGAUACCCUAGUAGUC
This 459-nucleotide ribosomal RNA is filed under the name uncultured bacterium. RNAcentral's name for it is "partial 16S ribosomal RNA". It matches the Rfam family "Bacterial small subunit ribosomal RNA", at positions 338 to 795 of the family's 1533-position model. The record is from RNAcentral.